CCCUGACAGCUGCGUGGUGCAGCUGACGCAGCCCACGACAGGAGAAUGACAUG
This 53-nucleotide non-coding RNA is filed under the name unclassified sequences. RNAcentral's name for it is "Mu-gpT-DE RNA". It matches the Rfam family "Mu-gpT-DE RNA". The record is from Rfam by way of RNAcentral.